This 387-nucleotide long non-coding RNA is filed under the name Rhinopithecus bieti (black snub-nosed monkey). RNAcentral's name for it is "lncRNA (ENSRBIG00000045785.1)". Lineage: Eukaryota; Metazoa; Chordata; Mammalia; Primates; Cercopithecidae. The record is from RNAcentral.
GUCAGAGAUCAGAGGCCGCACCAUCAUAGCAGUGGAACAGGACCAGCUGGGACAGGGUCCUUCUGUGACACCUGCUGCAUCACAAGGCUGUGCGAAUGAACUCAGCUACCAGAACUCACAGAAUAUCAGUAUCAGCACCAAAACAUCACAGGAAAAAUGUUCAAAGGAAGAUAGAAAAGAAUGUUUGUUAUUCCUGUGAGAAGGAGGGGCACAGUCAUUUCUAUGAGUGUUUGACUUCAGGGUGCCUCCUCAGAAACAUACAACCACAUCUUACCUGGGGAGAAACUUCCAACUCUGCAACUUACGCAACUGUGGGUACAAAACAAGUAUUUUGACUAGAGGACAAUAGCUACUAUUGCCACCAGAAAGGUGCCAUUCUGUGCCCUG